Long non-coding RNA from Equus caballus (horse), 629 nucleotides. Lineage: Eukaryota; Metazoa; Chordata; Mammalia; Perissodactyla; Equidae. The record is from Ensembl.
UGGUAGCCGCAUAUGGCUGCUCUGAGUGGACAUGUGCUGCAACCGAGAUGUACACUGGGUUUCCAAGGCCUAGUACAAGACAAUGGGAAGAUUUGCUCCAAGCCAACAUCUGUUGCCAAUCUUCUUCCUCUUCCCCACCACCGCUGGAUCACAGCACGUAGUUGUAAAUUCUUCUAGUUCCUCCAUGCAAGUCACUGCCACAGCACAGCUACCAACAGACAAGUGGUGUGGUUCUGCACCCGGACACCGAGCCCAGGCCGCCAACGCGGAGCAGGCCAAACUUGAAGCACCAGGCCGUCAGGGCUGGCUCACUUGAUAGGCUUUUUAAAACUAAAAAUAAAUAAAUAAUAAUUAAUUAUUUUAUUAUUUUGUUAAUUAAGUUGAUAAAUUACUUAAGUUUUAUUAAUCACUUUAUUAUGUUAAUUUUCAUCAUUCUCUCCUCCCGUUCUUCACAUCAGCCCCUCAACUGGCUACAUCAGUGGUGCUUUAGCACCGUAAGGAUGAAUUAAAAUUAUUGUUUCCUUACCUUCUAUGUCAUGAUAUGUUCCCUGUUUUCUUUUACAGUCGUCCCCCCUUAUCUGCAGGGGAAACGUUCCAAGACCCCCGGUGGACGCCUGAAACUGAGCAGA